UAAGACGGAGGUGGCGAGCGUUGCUCGGAUUCAUUGGGUGUAAAGGGUCUGUAGGCGGUCCUGUAAGUCAGAUGUGAAAUCCCACCGCUCAACGGUGGAACUGCAUUUGAAACUGCAAGACUUGAGUGCGGUAGAGGUGAGGGGAAUUCCCGGUGUAAGAGUGAAAUCUGUAGAGAUCGGGAGGAACACCUGUGGCGAAGGCGCCUCACUGGGCCGCAACUGACGCUGAGCGACGAAAGCUAGGGUAGCGAACAGGAUUAGAUACCCUGGUAGUCCUAGCCGUAAACGAUGAGGACUAGGUGUCGGUUCGCAAGGAUCGGUGCCGAAGUUAACACAUUAAGUCCUCCACCUGGGGAGUACGUCCGCAAGGAUG
RNAcentral lists this ribosomal RNA (373 nucleotides) under uncultured bacterium. RNAcentral describes it as "bacterial SSU rRNA". It matches the Rfam family "Bacterial small subunit ribosomal RNA", at positions 521 to 896 of the family's 1533-position model. The record is from RNAcentral.